Tupaia belangeri chinensis (Chinese tree shrew) is the source of this 810-nucleotide long non-coding RNA. RefSeq lists it as uncharacterized. The record is from RefSeq and is a predicted model, not a curated record. NCBI's taxonomy places the organism in Eukaryota, Metazoa, Chordata, Mammalia, Scandentia, Tupaiidae. The transcript is spliced from 3 exons.
CAGAAAGACCUUCAACUGGGUCUCACGCUGCAAGUCUCCCCUGAGACCUCUCAGCCAGCCAGGAUCAAGGAAUGUGCUCGCACACCCAGGGUAUACAGGCUUCAGGUGGAUGGAAUAAUUAAAGUUCUGAUCUGAUACUGCCGUUGGAUCCUUGUGACUCAGUCCUAUUGCAUGGCUCAGCACCUCAUCGUAUUGCAAACACUAGGUGAUUAAAUGAACCAAGUUGCGGAGUCGAGAUCUGGGAGGAGGCAACAAUCACUUCGUGUAAUAAAGCAGCACCUUCCGAAGGCGAGCAUAGACCUGAGCGCCAACACCAGCAGCUGAGGCCGAGUGAGGAGGACAUCCGAGGCGGACACUUACCAACUCAGUUACAGAGUUCUGGAAAAGGACAGGCUUUGAGGAGCCAAAACAUGGGAACAACCGGAGGCUUCCGGAGAAUUCUCUCCCACAUACUGGCUGGACACGGAGUCCUAGAGGGUGUCCCUGCUGGUGUCACAAUCCAGCCCUGCUGGCAGGAAGUGGGGCGGUGGGUGGCAAAUCAGGCUCGCAGUGUGUUGGUGAGAUUGUUUUCAGAAUGCUUGUAUCUUGUCAGGGAGCACUGGUACCCUCUGUGUGUCCUCUCUGAAUCUAGUCCUGAGUCACCCGCCCACUGGGAGAGUCUGUCCUGGCCAGGGAUACUCCAGAAUGAGAGACGACGCAGCAAUACUUCUUCCUUGACUCCGGAAGAUAUCUGUGCAUAGUCAGAAAUCUGGGUUUCUAACUAGCCAUGUGUGCUUUUGUCUCUAACGUUCCUUCCAGCUUGGAAAUAUU